CUAAUCCAGCAAAAUAGGCUUAAAGCUGGAAAAAUAAUAAUGUAAAUAAAAGUACUUUUAUUUACAUUAUUAUUUUUCCAGCUUUAAGCCUAUUUUGCUGGAUCAG
Non-coding RNA from Pelobates cultripes (western spadefoot toad), 106 nucleotides. The record is from the annotation of a GenBank genome assembly. NCBI's taxonomy places the organism in Eukaryota, Metazoa, Chordata, Amphibia, Anura, Pelobatidae.